UACGGAGGAUGCGAGCGUUAUCCGGAUUUAUUGGGUUUAAAGGGUGCGUAGGUUGUUUUUUAAGUCAGCGGUGAAAGUUUGUGGCUCAACCAUAAAAUUGCCGUUGAAACUGGAAGACUUGAGUGUGUUUGAGGUAGGCGGAAUGCGUGGUGUAGCGGUGAAAUGCAUAGAUAUUAGGAGGAACACCAGUGGCGAAGGCGGCCUACUGGACGGUGACUGACGCUGAGGCUCGAAAGCGUGGGGAGCAAACAGG
This 253-nucleotide ribosomal RNA is filed under the name uncultured Parabacteroides sp. RNAcentral describes it as "partial 16S ribosomal RNA". It matches the Rfam family "Bacterial small subunit ribosomal RNA", at positions 524 to 776 of the family's 1533-position model. Lineage: Bacteria; Pseudomonadati; Bacteroidota; Bacteroidia; Bacteroidales; Tannerellaceae. The record is from RNAcentral.